This 405-nucleotide unclassified non-coding RNA is filed under the name soil metagenome. RNAcentral's name for it is "partial contains 5.8S ribosomal RNA, internal transcribed spacer 2, and large subunit ribosomal RNA". The stretch from base 1 to 121 matches the Rfam family "5.8S ribosomal RNA", at positions 35 to 154 of the family's 154-position model. The record is from RNAcentral.
GAUGAAGAACGCAGCGAAAUGCGAUAGGUAAUGUGAAUUGCAGAAUUCAGUGAAUCAUCGAAUCUUUGAACGCACCUUGCGCCCUUUGGCCAUUCCGAAGGGCAUGCCUGUUUGAGUAUCAUGAACACCUCAACUCUUUAUGGUUUUCCAUGAUGAGCUUGGACUCUGGGGGUUUUGCUGGCUCACAGUCGGCUCCUCUAAAAUGAAUCAGCUUACCAGUGUUUGGUGGGUAUCAUGGGUGUGAUAACUAUCUACGCUUGUGGUUUUUCCACCAGGUAACCUUCAGCAGUGGAGGUUCGCUGGAGCUCAUAGAUGUCUCUCCUCAGUGAGGACAGCCCUUUGAAUGUUUGAUCUCAAAUCAGGUAGGACUACCCGCUGAACUUAAGCAUAUCAAUAAGCGGAGGA